UGGCGAAAGGGUGAGUAAUACAUAAAUAAUCUGCCCAUGGACUGGGAUAAAUAUUAUAAUAGAUAGAUAAUACAGGAUAGGUGAUUUGAAGGCAUCUUCGAAUCAUUAAAGUAGGGUCACUACACCAAUGGAUGAGUUUAUGGCGCAUUAGUUAGUUGGCGGGGUAACGGCCCACCAAGACGAUGAUGCGUAGCCGACCUGAGAGGGUGACCGGCCACACUGGGACUGAGACACGGCCCAGACUCCUACGGGAGGCAGCAGUAGGGAAUUUUCGGCAAUGGGCGCAAGCCUGACCGAGCAACGCCGCGUGAGUGAUUAAGGCCUUCGGGUUGUAAAGCUCUGUUGUAAGGGAAGAACAUUCAGGAUAGGAAAUGAUCUUGAACUGACGGUACCUUACCAGAAAGCCACGGCUAACUACGUGCCAGCAGCCGCGGUAAUACGUAGGUGGCAAGCGUUAUCCGGAAUUAUUGGGCGUAAAGGGUGCGUAGGCGGUUUAUUAAGUCUAUGGUGAAAGUGCGGGGCUCAACCCCGUAUGGCCAUAGAAACUGAUAGACUUGAGUGCAGGAGAGGGCAAUGGAAUUCCAUGUGUAGCGGUAAAAUGCGUAGAUAUAUGGAGGAACACCAGUGGCGAAGGCGGUUGCCUGGCCUGUAACUGACGCUGAGGCACGAAAGCGUGGGGAGCAAAUAGGAUUAGAUACCCUAGUAGUCCACGCUGUAAACGAUGAAUACUAAGUGUUGGAGAAAUUCAGUGCUGCAGUUAACGCAAUAA
This 769-nucleotide ribosomal RNA is filed under the name uncultured bacterium. Its description in RNAcentral is "bacterial SSU rRNA". It matches the Rfam family "Bacterial small subunit ribosomal RNA", at positions 96 to 863 of the family's 1533-position model. The record is from RNAcentral.